GCAAAUCUGGUGCAGUCAUUGAGGAGAUGCACUGCAGUACUUAAUGCAGCUGGUAGCCACACCAGACACCGACUGUUGCUUUUGAUUUUGACCCCCCCCUUUGUUCAGGGACACAUUAUUCCAUUCCUGUUAGUCACAUGUCUGUGGAACUUGUUCAGUUUAUGUUUCAGUUGUUGAAUCUUGUUAUGUUCAUACAAAUAUUUACACAUGUUAAGUUUGCUGAAAAUAAACGCAGUUGACAGUGAGAGGACGUUUCUUUUUUUGCUGAGUUUAGUUCAGAAAUCGAUUUCAUCAUGCAGAAAAAUACAUUAUUAUUGAUAAAAUGUAUGUUCUUAGAUUUUUCAUUGCAGUUCUUUUUCAUUCAUUUUCAUAGGGUAUGCGCUGCCACCCUGACCGCAGGUCACUCGAAAACAUGUGUUUUUGGAUCAUUUUGCAUGUGAUCACAUUUGAAAUAAGUGUUGGAGAGAGUGAGGCAAAUUGUGAUACAUGACAAGGUGUCAUUGUGCACUGGAUUGCUGUUCUUUAGAACAGUCAUAUGAAAGGCAAUCAUUUUUUUCUGAGAACAAGCAAAGAGGGAAAUGUGAAUUUGACCUUUCUCAAUUUUUCCAAUCUUAUCUUGUUUAAUAUAGUUAUUUUACGUAACAUUUAUCUGCAUUCAGAAACAACCUUCAUCCUGCUACAUAAUAAAAAUACAGACAGCUGUUUUGCAUCUCUACUUGCAGGCCUGAUGUACCCUGUAUUAAUGUUACACUAAGCAUAAAAGGUAUUUGUGAGAUCUACUCUACUCUGAUAUCUCACUCGGUGAAGGCCUUGAGGUGAGCCUUGUUCCCUGCUCCUCUUCCUUACUUUUUCUUCUUCAGCUGCCCUCCUCAGGCCACCACUGACCAGACCAGGACCAGCAGACUGCCAACCACCUGGCACAGACCAGACAGCAGAGUCACCACAAGAACUAGCGGUGAAGAGUGAGGAAUAAAGACACCAACCUACAUCUGAUGAUCAGAACGGACCAAAAACCACCCAGCUGAACAAGAUGACCUGGAUGAUCCCAUGAAGGAUGCGACGCGGUAAGGCUGACGCUAAUCCCAAAUGAGGAGGCUACCGAGGACAGAGCCGGCAAUCACCUAUCCAGCACCUGCAGCAGUUCCGGUUCCUUGUUCCCGGUUCCAAGCACCACAUCCAGCAACAAUCCUUGGUCUCCAGUCCCAGUCCAAGCCACAACAUUAGCACCAAUCCUGGACACAGCACCGAACAACCACAAGUAGCAAUUCCUUUUAGCAACCACCAGCCCAGACCUCACCCCUUCCCUUCCCCUCCCAUACAUAAACACACAAACACAUUGUGGACUGAUAGACUAAUGGACUGACUGAACGGACUGACAGAUUUUGCAGAUAGUUUUUGAUUGACUGCUUUUGUUUUGUUUUUGUUUGGAUGACCAUGUGCUUUGCCUAAUUUGAGUUGUUUACUUAUAUUUGUAAUUUUAAAUUAAUAAUGGAAGUUGUUUAACAUUGUAAACUGUAAUGAAUUUUGGAAAAAACUAAUUAAUUGAUUCAGAUUGCAUUCAUGUUAAAACGUUUAAAGCAAGGUAUUCAAUAAAUGUUGAGUCAAUAAAUCAUAAGCGAUCAAUCAGUUAUUAAAUCAAAAAUAGACAAGGGAAAAAAGGCAACAAAAGCAAGCAUAAGGUAUGUGCGUGGUCAAUGUCAAUUAUUUUGGCCAGCAGGUCACUAGUGUACACUGUGUUGAUCAAAGCCUUGAGUAAUGAAUGUAUUUUCAACAAAAUUGUCUGGAAAACCUCAAA
Salvelinus fontinalis (brook trout) is the source of this 1795-nucleotide long non-coding RNA. RefSeq lists it as uncharacterized. The record is from RefSeq and is a predicted model, not a curated record. The transcript has 3 exons. Lineage: Eukaryota; Metazoa; Chordata; Actinopteri; Salmoniformes; Salmonidae.